GUGAACACGCCAACCCAUGGAAGGAGAGUUUCAGACAUCUCUACCGUGGCGUGCACGUGAGACCAGGCUACCAGAACACACUGCACCAGGGUCGGCGCAUUGCGCAUUUUGACACAGUACAGGGUGCGCUUGAACACGUUGACAGUUUUCGCUGGCAGUGCGCUCAUUUUCCUCCAUGCUGGUACCUAUCGGGGCGAGUUUCUUGUCAUCGAUUCCGAUGUUUCACUAAUUGGAGCUGCACCAGGAAAUGUUGCAGAAUCAGUUAUUCUAGAGAGAGAAUCAGAAUCCACAGUGAUGUUUGUGGAGGGUGCUAAGAACGCUUACGCCGGCCACUUGACGUUAAAGUUCUCGCCAGACGUAGCAUCUAAUGUUCCACACAACAAACAUUACUGUCUAGAAGUUGGCGAGAAUUGUAGUCCCACGAUUGAUCAUUGUAUCAUCCGCAGCUCUUCAGUUGGUGGGUUAAUUAUGCAUGUUAUGCAAACUUCUAAUUUAAGAACUUUUAGUACUUGACAAAAUUAAAAUUAGUUUUGUUAUUUUGUCAACAUGUAAUAUUUUACAUGCAUUGGCAUCUUAAAAAAUCUAUCUGCUACUAGAUUGACAGUCUUUAAUAAACUUUGUUGUAUAGAG
Molecule: long non-coding RNA, 630 nt
Organism: Homalodisca vitripennis (glassy-winged sharpshooter)
Lineage: Eukaryota; Metazoa; Arthropoda; Insecta; Hemiptera; Cicadellidae
Exons: 2
Source: RefSeq, a predicted model, not a curated record